Molecule: long non-coding RNA, 4249 nt
Filed under: Triticum aestivum (bread wheat)
Lineage: Eukaryota; Viridiplantae; Streptophyta; Magnoliopsida; Poales; Poaceae
Description: long non-coding RNA (TAES_LNC005012)
Source: RNAcentral
GAGAAGUUUGCACUUAUUAAGGAUUAUAUUGAUGGGUUGCCUUUUACCAUUGCACAUGAUGAUUUUGAUGAAUAUAAUAUGCAUGUGCUUGCUGCUCCUACUUGCAAUUAUUAUGAGAGAGGAACUAUAUCUCCACCUCUCUAUGUUUCCAAUAUGAUAAAGUUGCAAGAAACUGUUUAUACUAUGCAUUGGCCUUUACUAGGUGUGCAUGAAUUGUUCUUUUAUGACAUGCCGAUGCAUAGGAAGAGAGUUAGACUUCGUCAUUGCUUGAUAUAUGUUGCUUUGUUCUCACUACUAAAUUACAAAUCAUUGUUAAUUAAAAUUGACUUUGAUAUACCUUGGGAUCCGGGUGGAUUCACUACUUGAGCACUAUAUGCCUAGCUUAAUGGCUUUAAAGAAAGCGCUGCCAGGGAGACAACCCGAAAGUUUUAGAGAGUCACUUAUUUCUCUCGAGUGCUUUCAUAUAGUUUUAAAACAACAAAAAUAAAUAGGGGAACCCAAAACUUUUUCAAAAAGGAAAGCGGAAGUGAGAAAGACAAGCAUUGUUGAAGUGGGAGAGCUCCUUGAACUUUGUUCAUGCUCACGGCAACUUUGUGAAUCUUGAUUGCAGAAACUUUUCAAUAAAAAUAAUUAUCCCCUUGUACAAUUCCAUUGUAUUAUAAAAAUAAUGUGACAAGGUUUGCCUUUAGGAUGUUUACAUUUGCUUGAUGGUUUGUACGGUGCAGGACAGAAACUUUGGCUGUAGUGUGUGAUUUUACAUUUUUAGCUGAAACGUCAAAUGGUUCUGAUUCUUUUUUCACUGUCUUCCUAAACAAAUUUUUUAUUUUUACUAAUUUUGGUAGAAUUUUCAAGUAUCAAAAGUAUGGUGAAUGUUCAAAUUAUUACAGACUGUUCUGUUUUAGACAGAUUCUGUUUUUGAUGCAUAGUUUGCUUGUUUUGAUGAAACUAUCGAUUCAUAUUAGUGGAUUAAGCCAUGAAAAAGUUAUAUUACAGUAGACACAAUGCAAAAAUAAAAUAUGAAUUGGUUUGCAACAGUACCUAGAGUAGUGAUUUGCUUUAUUAUACUAACGGAUCUUACCGAGUUUUCUGUUGAAGUUUUGUGUGGAUGAAGUGUUCGAUAAUUGAGAAGGUCUCGAUGUGAGAAGAAGGAAGAGAGGCAAGAGCUCAAGCUUGGGGAUGCCCGAGGCACCCCAAGUAAAUAUUCAAGGAGACUCAAGCGUCUAAGCUUGGGGAUUCUGGGGAGGCAUCCCCUCUUUCUUCAACAAAUAUUGGUAUGUCUUCGGAUUCGUUUCGUUCAUGCGAUAUGUGCAAGUCUUGGAGCGUCUUUUGCAUUUAGGUUUUUAUUUUUAUUUUUAUGCACCAUGCUGAUAUGAGAUAGUCCUUGAUUGAUUUAUAGAAUGCUCAUUGCACUUCACUUAUAUCUUUUGAGUAUGGCUUUAUAGAAUGCUUCAUGUGCUUCACUUAUAUCAUUUGAAGUUUCGAUUGCCUGUUUCUCUUCACUUAGACAACCGCCAUUUGUAGAAUGCUCUUUUGCUUCACUUAUAUUUGUUAGAGCACGGGCACAUGUUUUGUAGAAAGAACUAAACUCUCUUUCUUCACUUAUAUCUAUUUAGAGAGAUGACAGGAAUUGGUCAUUCACAUGGUUAGUCAUAAAAUCGUACAUAAACUUGUAGAUCGUUGAAUAUGAUAUGUUUGAUUUCUUGCAAUAGUUUUGUGAUAUAAAGGCGGUGAUAUUAGAGUCAUGCUAGUCGAGUAAUUGUGAAAUUGAGAAGUACUUGUGUUGAGGUUUGCAAGUCCCGUAGCAUGCACGUAUGGUGAACCGUUAUGUAACGAAGUCGGAGCAUGAGGUGUUUAUUGAUUGUCCUCCUUAUGAGUGGCGGUCGGGGACGAGCGAUGGUCUUUUUCUACCAAUCUAUCCCCCUAGGAGCAUGCGCCUAGUACUUUGUUUCGAUGACUAAUAGAUUUUUGUAAUAAGUAUGUGAGUUCUUUAUGACUAACGUUGAGUCCAUGGAUUAUAUGCACUCUCACCCUUCCACCAUUGCUAGCCUCUCUAGUACUGCGCAACUUUCGCCGGUACCAUAAACCCACCAUAUACCUUCCUCAAAACAGCCACCAUACCUACCUAUCAUGGCAUUUCCAUAGCUAUUCCGAGAUAUAUUGCCAUGCAACUUUCAUCAUCAUCAUCAUAUACAUGACUUGAGCAUUUAUUGUCAUAUUGCUUUGCAUGACCGUAAGAUAGCUAGCAUGAUGUUUUCAUGGCUUGUCCGUUUUUUGAUGUCAUUGCUACGCUAGAUCAUUGCACAUCCCGGUACACCGCCGGAGGCAUUCAUAUAGAGUCAUAUCUUUGUUCUAGAUAUCGAGUUGUAAGUAAAUAAAAGUGUGAUGAUCAUCAUUAUUAGAUCAUUGCCCCAGUGAGGAAAGGAUGAUGGAGACUAUGAUUCCCCCACAAGUCGGGAUGAGACUCUGGACGAAAAAAAUACAAAAAAGAGAAAGGCCAAAAAAAGAGAAGGCCCAAAAAAAAAAGAGAACAAAAAAGGAGAGAAAAAGAGAUAAGGGGCAAUGUUACUAUCCUUUUACCACACUUGUGCUUCAAAGUAGCACCCAUGUUCUUCAUAUAGAGAGUCUCUUGAGUUAUCACUUUCAUAUACUAGUGGGAAUUUUCAUUAUAGAACUUGGCUUCCAACGAUGGGCUUCCUCAAAUGCCCUAGGUCUUCAUGAGCAAGCAAGUUGGAUGCACACCUACUUAGUUUUAGUUUGAGCUUUCAUAUACUUAUAGCUCUAGUGCAUUCGUUGCAUGGAAAUCCCUACUCCUCACAUUGAUAUCUAUUAAUGGGCAUCUCCAUAGCCCGUUGGUACGCCUAGUUGAUGUGAAACUUUCUCCUUUUUUGUCUUCUCCACAUAACCCCCACCAUCAUAUUCUAUUCCACCUAUAGUGCUAUGUCCAUGGCUCACGCUCAUGUAUUGCGUGAAAGUUGAAAAGGUUUGAGAAAUGUCAAAGUAUGAAACAAUUGCUUGGCUUGUCAUCGGGGUUGUGCAUGAUGUGAAUGCUUUGUGUGGUGAAGAUGGAGCAUAGCCAGACUAUAUGAUUUUGUAGGGAUAACUUUCUUUGGCCAUGUUAUUUUGAAAAGACAUGAUUGCUUUAUUAGUAGGCUUGAAGUAUUAUUGUUUUUAUGUCAAAUGAUAGACUAUUGCUUUGAAUCACUCGUGUCUUAAUAUUCAUGCCAUGAUUAGACAUAUGAUCAAGAUUAUGCUAGGUAGCAUUCCACAUCAAAAAUUAUCUUUUUUAUCAUUUACCUACUCGAGGACGAGCAGGAAUUAAGCUUGGGGAUGCUGAUACGUCUCCGUCAUAUCUAUAAUUUUUGAUUGUUCCAUGCCAAUAUUCUACAACUUUCAUAUACUUUUGGCAACUUUUUAUACUAUUUUUGGGACUAAUAUAUUGAUCCAGUGCCCAGUGCCAGUUCCUAUGUGUUGCAUGUUUUUUGUUUCGCAGAAAUCCAAUAUCAAACGGAGCCCAAACGGGAUAAAAACGGACGGAGAAUUAUUUUGGAAUAUUUAUGAUUUUUGGGAAGUAAAAUCAACGCGAGACGGUGUCCGAGGGGGGCACGAGGUAGGGGGCGCGCCCCUGGGUGUCAGGCGCGCCCCUGACCCUCGUGACCACCCCGUAAGGCGGUUGAUGCCCUUCUUUCACCGCAAGAAAGCUAAUUUCUGGAUAGAGAUCGUGUCAAAAUUUCAGCCCAAUCGUAGUUACGGAUCUCCGGGAAUAUAAGAAACGGUGAAAGGGAAAAAUCGGAGAACGCAGAAACAGAGAGAGGCAGAGAGACAGAUCCAAUCUCGGAGGGGCUCUCGCCCCUCCUGUGCCAUGGAGGCCAUGGACCAGAGGGGAAACUCUUCUCCCAUCUAGGGAGGAGGUCAAGGAAGAAGAAGGAGGGGGGCUCUCUCCCCCUCGCUUCCGGUGGCACCGAAGUGCCACCGGGGGCCAUCAUCAUCACCGCGAUCUACACCAACACCUCCGCCAUCUUCACCAACAUCUCCAUCACCUCCCCCCUCUAUCUACAGCGGUCCACUCUCCCGCAACCCGAUGUACCCUCUACUUGAACAUGGUGCUUUAUGCUUCAUAUUAUUAUCCAAUGAUGUGUUGCCAUCCUAUGAUGUCUGAGUAGAUUUUCGUCGUCCUAUUGGUGGUUGAUGAAUUGCUAUGAUUGAUUUAAUUUGCUUGUGGUUAUGUUGCUGUCCUUUGGUGCCCAUCAUA